This 381-nucleotide ribosomal RNA is filed under the name Triticum aestivum (bread wheat). Its description in RNAcentral is "partial small subunit ribosomal RNA". The record is from RNAcentral. Lineage: Eukaryota; Viridiplantae; Streptophyta; Magnoliopsida; Poales; Poaceae.
AUGGCCCUCAUUGUUGUUUGGAAACAUUUCUGCUCUUCGCUUCAACAAUGCGCUCCUUUUUUUGUGAAGAGCAAUGCACUCAUUGAUGCUACUUUGUUAACAUGUCUUCGUUGGGUCUUGUUUCUUAUUUUUAUAACUACGGAUUUAGCAAGAGACUUUUUUGCCUCUGUAUUUUCACCAUACUUCCAUUUCAUAUUUUUAUUAGUGCAGUUUCUGAAUUAUUAUCCAGUGCCUUUUGGAGCUCGAGCUCCAUGGGACCCGAUAUUUGUACAUAUUUCAACCUGUUUUUUCUUGGAAGGUAAUCAUACGCUGAUGGGGAGGGUGUACCUAUUUUUUCAUCAAUUUGCCUUCUUUUGCUCUCCUAUUACCAUUCCCCUUUAG